Mycena crocata is the source of this 93-nucleotide non-coding RNA. Lineage: Eukaryota; Fungi; Basidiomycota; Agaricomycetes; Agaricales; Mycenaceae. The record is from the annotation of a GenBank genome assembly.
UCUCGACUAGUAUAUCGGUUUAGUACACGCGCCUGUCAUUGAAUUUCGUAAUUUGGACCGCGCGAAAGCUGGGUUCGACUCCCAGGUCGAGAG